UACGAAGGGGGCUAGCGUUGUUCGGAAUUACUGGGCGUAAAGCGCAUGUAGGCGGUCCUACAAGCCAGAGGUGAAAUCCCGGAGCUCAACUUCGGAAUUGCCUUUGGAACUGUAGGACUGGAGUAUCGGAGGGGAUGGUGGAAUUCCAAGUGUAGAGGUGAAAUUCGUAGAUAUUUGGAGGAACACCGGUGGCGAAGGCGGCCAUCUGGACGAUUACUGACGCUGAGAUGCGAAAGCGUGGGGAGCAAACAGG
This 253-nucleotide ribosomal RNA is filed under the name bacterium. RNAcentral's name for it is "partial 16S ribosomal RNA". It matches the Rfam family "Bacterial small subunit ribosomal RNA", at positions 524 to 776 of the family's 1533-position model. RNAcentral also lists the same sequence under 1 other name. The record is from RNAcentral.